UGAGGAAGCUUUGGGCCUCAGAAGAUGGAA
Molecule: non-coding RNA, 30 nt
Filed under: Homo sapiens (human)
Lineage: Eukaryota; Metazoa; Chordata; Mammalia; Primates; Hominidae
Source: RNAcentral